Non-coding RNA from Ixodes scapularis (black-legged tick), 82 nucleotides. Lineage: Eukaryota; Metazoa; Arthropoda; Arachnida; Ixodida; Ixodidae. The record is from Rfam.
GCAGUCGUGGCCGAGUGGUUAAGGAGAUGGACUAGAAAUCCAUUGGGGUCUCCCCGCACAAGCUCGAAUCAUGUCGACUGCG